This 271-nucleotide ribosomal RNA is filed under the name uncultured Bifidobacteriales bacterium. Its description in RNAcentral is "partial 16S ribosomal RNA". It matches the Rfam family "Bacterial small subunit ribosomal RNA", at positions 504 to 774 of the family's 1533-position model. Lineage: Bacteria; Bacillati; Actinomycetota; Actinomycetes; Bifidobacteriales. The record is from RNAcentral.
UGUGCCAGCAGCCGCGGUAAUACGUAGGGCGCAAGCGUUAUCCGGAUUUAUUGGGCGUAAAGGGCUCGUAGGCGGCUCGUCGCGUCCGGUGUGAAAGUCCAUCGCUUAACGGUGGAUCUGCGCCGGGUACGGGCGGGCUGGAGUGCGGUAGGGGAGACUGGAAUUCCCGGUGUAACGGUGGAAUGUGUAGAUAUCGGGAAGAACACCGAUGGCGAAGGCAGGUCUCUGGGCCGUCACUGACGCUGAGGAGCGAAAGCGUGGGGAGUGAACA